RNAcentral lists this ribosomal RNA (431 nucleotides) under uncultured bacterium. Its description in RNAcentral is "bacterial SSU rRNA". It matches the Rfam family "Bacterial small subunit ribosomal RNA", at positions 354 to 777 of the family's 1533-position model. The record is from RNAcentral.
GUGGGGAAUUUUGGACAAUGGGGGCAACCCUGAUCCAGCCAUGCCGCGUGCGGGAAGAAGGCCUUCGGGUUGUAAACCGCUUUUGUUAGGAACGAAAAGGUAUCUGUGAACAACAGGUAUUGCUGACGGUACCUAAAGAAUAAGCACCGGCUAACUACGUGCCAGCAGCCGCGGUAAUACGUAGGGUGCGAGCGUUAAUCGGAAUUACUGGGCGUAAAGCGUGCGCAGGCGGUUGGGUAAGACAGGUGUGAAAUCCCCGAGCUUAACUUGGGAACUGCACUUGUGACUGCUCAACUAGAGUAUGUCAGAGGGAGGUGGAAUUCCAAGUGUAGCAGUGAAAUGCGUAGAUAUUUGGAAGAACACCGAUGGCGAAGGCAGCCUCCUGGGAUAAUACUGACGCUCAUGCACGAAAGCGUGGGGAGCAAACAGGA